Molecule: long non-coding RNA, 447 nt
Filed under: Homo sapiens (human)
Lineage: Eukaryota; Metazoa; Chordata; Mammalia; Primates; Hominidae
Description: HSALNT0365045
Source: RNAcentral
CUGGGAGAGAACAUAGGCAGGGUUAGGCAUGGGAGAAUGUGUCUGACUCACAACGAAGGAAUGAAGCAUGCCGGGCCUCAUCUCGGACCUGCACACUGCCCCUCAUUAUGUUCAUGAUCGGCAGGAAAUGGAUAAAGAGUGGCCAGAAGGUGAAAAAGAAGAGAUGGCCCCCUGAAAGGGACAUCCACAUUUAUUUGAGCACCUACCAGGAUACCUGCUUUGGGAGCCUUCUGCUGCUGCGUGAGAUCCCUGGCUACCCUGGAGAGACAUCAGACAACAAGUGAGAUGCCCAAGAGCCCUAGCUGUCUUUGUCUUUGCAGCCCAAGCUCCAGACAUGUACUGAAGAAGCUUUAAGGAUAAAUUCAGUCCCAACUACUCCCUGGCUACAACUAUGAGACAGACCCUCCCAAGUCAGAACUGCCUAGCCAAGCUCAGGCAACUCCAAGA